UUCUAUUAGAAAUUAUUAAUAGUAAAAUCUGCUCCAUGUCUAAUAAAUAGCCGCAAUUUGUGCUAAGGUAGCAUAAUCAUUUGUCUUUUAAAUGAAGACUAGAACAAAAGAUUUAACAUUUUCAGUUCAUUUUCCUAACUUAAAUCAUUAAAUUUAUCCUAAAUGUAAAAAGACAUUUAUAUAAAAGAAAGACGAUAAGACCCUAUUGAACUUAACUGCAGUUAAACUGGGGCAGUAAAUUAAUUAUUAUUUUAAUAAAAUUUUUUUUAUAAAUAUCUAAUAAAAUUAAAUAAUUCAGUUACCAUAGGGAUAACAGCGUAAUAAUCUUCUAAAGAUCUUAUUUAAAACAUAGAUUACGACCUCGAUGUUGAAUUAAUAACCUAAUUAAGGCAAAACUUAAAAAAGGAAGUCUGUUCGACUUUUAAAAAAUUACAUGAUUUGAGUUCAGACCGGUGUAAGCCAGGUCGGUUUCUAUCUUCUAAAAAAUUUUUUACAGUACGAAAGGACCUAAAAAUCUAAUA
This 521-nucleotide ribosomal RNA is filed under the name Habronattus sp. CHIH. RNAcentral describes it as "partial 16S ribosomal RNA". It matches the Rfam family "Bacterial large subunit ribosomal RNA", at positions 1831 to 2706 of the family's 2925-position model. The record is from RNAcentral. Lineage: Eukaryota; Metazoa; Arthropoda; Arachnida; Araneae; Salticidae.